AGCAAUAGAGACUCUUUUGGGGGUGCGAAAUUUUCUGAGGAUGCUACAAGUGUUGGAAUCAAGGCUAUUUCUUCCUGCAUUGUAUCAAAUUUAUUUUUCUCUGCACCCCAUCAUUAUAGAUUUUAUUUUCCCAAACAGACUAACUCAAUUUUGAAAACAUUUUUCCAGAAGGUACUCACCACUUGUCCGAAAAACACUCUCACCCACUCCUAUUCCGAAAGCUAUGAUAGGGUGCGGGAACAAAGUUGAUAGGGUGUAGGAAGCAACAACCUAUGUCAUAAGAAUUGGGCUAAAAGAGAAUAUCAAGAAGGAGAACAAUCCAAAUAUGGGGGGUUACUCCCUGUACCUCCCCAAUUCCAACUCCCACCCCCAUUCCAUUUUUAUCCUUUGCUCUAUUUUUUCUUUUCCAAUUUUAUCCUUUAGCAAAAAUUUAUAUUUAGAAAUAAAAUUUUAUAAUUUUAUUCUUCCACCCCCAC
Molecule: long non-coding RNA, 476 nt
Filed under: Vigna radiata
Lineage: Eukaryota; Viridiplantae; Streptophyta; Magnoliopsida; Fabales; Fabaceae
Description: long non-coding RNA (VRAD_LNC018550)
Source: RNAcentral